GCGGGGAGCGCAAGGGGCUGCAGGGGUGCGCGCUGGGGCGGCCGUGGGGAGGGGAGCGGCGCGGCGCGGCGUGGGAGAGCAGGGGUAAGACGGACAGGAAGGGAGCGAAGGGGAAAGGCAGGUGGAAAAGGGAAAUGACCGCGGGGGCCAGGAAGGCUAAAGAGAAUACAAGGGAAGCUGCGAAGCCAUCUGGGAAUCUGCUUUAGCCACGUGUAAAUCGCAGGCGUCCUUGCGGCUUCCCGCUCUGCGCAGAGCGGAGCAGCAGCGCCCGGAGGAGGCCGGGCAGAGCCGGGAUGGCGGCGUGCGGCUGCGUGCGGAUCACCUCCAAAAGUAACCUCUGAAGCAGCAGAUUAGGUGAAGUCGGACAUAAAAGCAGAUGUUACAGGGGUGUGUGACCUCAGGGAUGCACUGCCUCAUGCUGAGGGGAGUCCUUAACCUCUCAUGCAAGAAGAGAGAAGCAGUGUGCUUCCUUCUUCUGGUGGCAGCUUGCCAAGCCCCUUUCAGCUGGCCUGAGGUUCAGUAACGUGCAGGUGGAAGAGCCCUUGCGAGGUUAGUUGUAAGUGACUUGAGGAGGAGCAGGAGCAGUAGCAUGCAGCCAGGCACACACAUGCAAAACCCAUAAACCUCGCCUUCUGUUACAGGAGAUGAGCUGUGUGUUUCUCAGCAUGGUG
Molecule: long non-coding RNA, 671 nt
Organism: Pezoporus occidentalis (night parrot)
Lineage: Eukaryota; Metazoa; Chordata; Aves; Psittaciformes; Psittacidae
Exons: 3
Source: RefSeq, a predicted model, not a curated record